RNAcentral lists this ribosomal RNA (499 nucleotides) under uncultured bacterium. RNAcentral describes it as "partial 16S ribosomal RNA". It matches the Rfam family "Bacterial small subunit ribosomal RNA", at positions 28 to 523 of the family's 1533-position model. The record is from RNAcentral.
GAUGAACGCUAGCUACAGGCUUAACACACGCAAGUCGAGGGGUAGCAGGGUAGCAAUACCGCUGACGACCGGCGCACGGGUGAGUAACACGUAUCCAACCUUCCCAUUACUCGGGGAUAGCCUUUCGAAAGAAAGAUUAAUACCCGAUAGUACUUUUUCGAGGCAUCUCGUAAAAAGUUAAAGAUUUAUUGGUAAUGGAUGGGGAUGCGUUCCAUUAGAUUGUUGGUGAGGUAACGGCUCACCAAGUCUUCGAUGGAUAGGGGUUCUGAGAGGAAGGUCCCCCACAUUGGUACUGAGACACGGACCAAACUCCUACGGGAGGCAGCAGUGAGGAAUAUUGGUCAAUGGGCGAGAGCCUGAACCAGCCAAGUAGCGUGAAGGAUGAAGGUCCUAUGGAUUGUAAACUUCUUUUAUAGUAGAAUAAAGUGAGCCACGUGUGGUUUUUUGUAUGUAUACUAUGAAUAAGGAUCGGCUAACUCCGUGCCAGCCGCCGCCGUAA